RNAcentral lists this small nucleolar RNA (207 nucleotides) under Leptobrachium leishanense (Leishan spiny toad). RNAcentral's name for it is "Small nucleolar RNA SNORA74 (ENSLLEG00000010585.1)". It matches the Rfam family "Small nucleolar RNA SNORA74". Rfam says of the family: U19 belongs to the H/ACA class of snoRNAs. snoRNAs bind a number of proteins (including dyskerin, Gar1p and Nop10p in the case of the H/ACA class) to form snoRNP complexes. This class are thought to guide the sites of modification of uridines to pseudouridines by forming direct base pairing interactions with substrate RNAs. Targets may include ribosomal and spliceosomal RNAs but the exact functions of many snoRNAs, including U19, are not confirmed. Lineage: Eukaryota; Metazoa; Chordata; Amphibia; Anura; Megophryidae. The record is from Rfam by way of RNAcentral.
CCCAGUGGUUGGUCAGUAUCCAGCGCUAAUCCGUGCCUGUGAUAGUGUUACAUUGCUGGGAGAUAAAGACAAUGCACCCAAUGCUGCUGUCACACUGUUACUGUUCUGGUGACGUGUAGCACAUGCAACUAGGCAUUGUUGUACUUCCUCGAGAGUGCGCCGAACAUCUGCCAUGCAUGUUUUGUCGCUAGUCUGGAAGCACACAGA